RNAcentral lists this ribosomal RNA (1106 nucleotides) under Enterococcus faecium. Its description in RNAcentral is "bacterial SSU rRNA". It matches the Rfam family "Bacterial small subunit ribosomal RNA", at positions 20 to 1095 of the family's 1533-position model. Lineage: Bacteria; Bacillati; Bacillota; Bacilli; Lactobacillales; Enterococcaceae. The record is from RNAcentral.
CGGCUCAGGACGAACGGCUGGCGGCGUGCCUAAUACAUGCAAGUCGAACGCUUCUUUUUCCACCGGAGCUUGCUCCACCGGAAAAAGAAGAGUGGCGAACGGGUGAGUAACACGUGGGUAACCUGCCCAUCAGAAGGGGAUAACACUUGGAAACAGGUGCUAAUACCGUAUAACAAUCGAAACCGCAUGGUUUUGAUUUGAAAGGCGCUUUCGGGUGUCGCUGAUGGAUGGACCCGCGGUGCAUUAGCUAGUUGGUGAGGUAACGGCUCACCAAGGCCACGAUGCAUAGCCGACCUGAGAGGGUGAUCGGCCACAUUGGGACUGAGACACGGCCCAAACUCCUACGGGAGGCAGCAGUAGGGAAUCUUCGGCAAUGGACGAAAGUCUGACCGAGCAACGCCGCGUGAGUGAAGAAGGUUUUCGGAUCGUAAAACUCUGUUGUUAGAGAAGAACAAGGAUGAGAGUAACUGUUCAUCCCUUGACGGUAUCUAACCAGAAAGCCACGGCUAACUACGUGCCAGCAGCCGCGGUAAUACGUAGGUGGCAAGCGUUGUCCGGAUUUAUUGGGCGUAAAGCGAGCGCAGGCGGUUUCUUAAGUCUGAUGUGAAAGCCCCCGGCUCAACCGGGGAGGGUCAUUGGAAACUGGGAGACUUGAGUGCAGAAGAGGAGAGUGGAAUUCCAUGUGUAGCGGUGAAAUGCGUAGAUAUAUGGAGGAACACCAGUGGCGAAGGCGGCUCUCUGGUCUGUAACUGACGCUGAGGCUCGAAAGCGUGGGGAGCAAACAGGAUUAGAUACCCUGGUAGUCCACGCCGUAAACGAUGAGUGCUAAGUGUUGGAGGGUUUCCGCCCUUCAGUGCUGCAGCUAACGCAUUAAGCACUCCGCCUGGGGAGUACGACCGCAAGGUUGAAACUCAAAGGAAUUGACGGGGGCCCGCACAAGCGGUGGAGCAUGUGGUUUAAUUCGAAGCAACGCGAAGAACCUUACCAGGUCUUGACAUCCUUUGACCACUCUAGAGAUAGAGCUUCCCCUUCGGGGGCAAAGUGACAGGUGGUGCAUGGUUGUCGUCAGCUCGUGUCGUGAGAUGUUGGGUUAAGUCCCGCAACGA